RNAcentral lists this long non-coding RNA (610 nucleotides) under Fukomys damarensis (Damara mole-rat). RNAcentral's name for it is "lncRNA (ENSFDAG00000031447.1)". The record is from RNAcentral. Lineage: Eukaryota; Metazoa; Chordata; Mammalia; Rodentia; Bathyergidae.
CAAGGAUUUGUCCAGAGCAGACACUGAUCUCUUUCUGUGGGGCAGCUCCCCUCACCCUGUCAGCCAACAUGACCUGUCAGCUUGUCGCCGGUGGACACAGGAGCUGGUGCUGGGAUUUUGACAUCAAUGGAAAGACUUCAGCUCAAGUUGACUCAAGACGCAAAAUGUGGACAGAGGAACCUUCUGGACGCAGCUGCAUGAAAGACAACUGGGAGAAGGACAAGGAAAUGACCAGUAUCUUAUACAGGACCUCAGAGGGAGACUGUCAGAAAUGGCGUGAGGAGUUACUGAAGCACUUGAAAAGGCAGGAGGAGCCCACAGCACCUCCACCCACCACACAAAACUUGCCCCCAUCCAGCUCUGUGGUGAUCACUCCAAAUGUGUGGGUCCUGCUGCUGAUCAUCACCUGCUCCAUCCUAUGUUGUUUCUAUGGAGAGAUUCAGUGACAGGUUGACGGUGCUGGAGAGAAGCUCCUGAAAAGGUGAUCAAGUAAAAUUCAUCUCCUGAGUGGUCAUCUGCCAGUCCACCAUCCGCUGUCCAUUCCGAGGCUCCGGCAAGCCAUUGAGACUGGAGCUGGGCUGCCUGGUUCUCCUCUGCUUUCCCACAUGAA